RNAcentral lists this unclassified non-coding RNA (424 nucleotides) under soil metagenome. Its description in RNAcentral is "partial contains 5.8S ribosomal RNA, internal transcribed spacer 2, and large subunit ribosomal RNA". The stretch from base 1 to 119 matches the Rfam family "5.8S ribosomal RNA", at positions 35 to 154 of the family's 154-position model. The record is from RNAcentral.
GAUGAAAACGUAGCGAAAUGCGAUAAGUAGUGUGAAUUGCAGAAUUCCGUGAAUCAUCGAAUCUUUGAACGCACAUUGCGCCUUCUGGUAUUCCGGAAGGCAUGCCUGUUCGAGAGUCAUUAACAACCGUUUCGAUCCCUUUCUUUCAGAAAUUACAAAGAGGAAAAGGGUUUGGUUAUGGUGGAGGAGGGAAAGGGAGCGUUUAGCCUGUAAAAAAAGAGGCUGUGUUCCGCCUCCCCCCCAAAAUUGUACAGGCGGUCGUGUGCGCCCACGCAUCGAGGUGUUGUAAAAGCUGCCACGGCACUUUUCACCUGUGCAGUGCGAGAUUGGCCAGCCGGUUUAAAAACCCCUCCAAACAAUCAAAGGUUGACCUCGGAUCAGGUAGGGAUACCCGCUGAACUUAAGCAUAUCAAUAAGCGGAGGA